GGCAACUCUUCUGGUUUAAAAAAGAAGUCCGGUUCCAUUAGAACUUAUGUGUGCGGUGUGUAACUUGACAAAGCUGACUCUGGCCUCAACGCUUCCUCGUUGAAAGCGCUACACAGGGGCUCCAUCUAGAGGCAGCGGGGUUGACCUGCGACCAUGCAUCUGGAGUUGGGACUGAGACUGCGGUGCGUCUCAGGAGCCUCUCAAAACCACAUUUCCAUAAACACAAGCUCCCACCACAGACUGCUGUAUUUGGUUUUGUUGAUGUGAUUCACACCAUGCAGAAAAGUCAGAAAAGGUUGUCUGAUUGAGAGAAAUAAAUAUUUUUCUUGAUUGUU
Long non-coding RNA from Micropterus dolomieu (smallmouth bass), 335 nucleotides. RefSeq lists it as uncharacterized. The transcript has 2 exons. The record is from RefSeq and is a predicted model, not a curated record. NCBI's taxonomy places the organism in Eukaryota, Metazoa, Chordata, Actinopteri, Centrarchiformes, Centrarchidae.